Molecule: long non-coding RNA, 2707 nt
Filed under: Hordeum vulgare
Lineage: Eukaryota; Viridiplantae; Streptophyta; Magnoliopsida; Poales; Poaceae
Description: long non-coding RNA (HVUL_LNC005968)
Source: RNAcentral
AGGCCGUGCAGUAUCGGACGGGUGAACCUGCAGAGGGGUUCUCAUCACAUUAAGAAGAUAACCAGAGCUCAAACAUAGACAAAUUAUACAUCUGUUCAUGUGGAAUAACAGUUCUCCCUAGAGAUGACAGAUGGCUAUGUGCAGAGGUCUUUAUCUCCAUCUAUACAUCUAUGUACUUCAUAUAUCUAUUGAUCUUACAUUUUAUACUGAAAUAUACCUCGCACUGGGCAAUUAUUUAUGUUUGAUUUUGAAGAAAAAAUUAUUCCUAUUACUUACUUAUUUGUUGAAUUUUGGUCCUGCAAAAGGUUCGGAAGCUGGGAAGUAUCCUGAACGUCCCAGAGUCAUUCUUAAAGCGACACCCAUUUUCUGGGCCUGGUCUUGCUGUACAUGUCAUAGACGAUGUUACAGCAGGCAAUGUUUCCUGGGCCAGGGAUUUUUUUUGAUUUCUGCAAACUACAGUUUGGAAAUCACUAAUCCAUACACGGAAGUUAGAUAGCUAGUCAAGAUGCAGUAGUUUACGUUCACCGUUCAUAGUGUUUUGUUUUUCGUUUGUUUUGAAUUCAGGAACGACUAGUAGUGAUUAUUACUUUUUUCAUAUUUUUCUCCUCUAAGUUAUACAUUUUUCUCUUUCUCCAUUUCAACUUUUUCGCCCUACCUUAAUUCUUGGUUUGUCAGUUGAUGUGUCGUUAGUUUCCAAUACUUGACUCCACCCUGAUUGCUAUAAAGAUACCAUCAUUUGUUUGACAGACGUCAGUAAAAUAUGAGCACAGCUCCUGCCCCUGCGCAUAAGUUUGCACAAAGUUAUUUUCAUAUCUUAGCCUGCGCUGUUUUCCAUUUCAGUUUAAAAUAAGUAAAUAAAUGAACUGGGCGUACAACAUUAAACUACACUCUGCCUCACAAAUUAAUACUCUCUCUAUAAUUAAAUAUACAUUGACUAAAGGAAACACAUGCAUUUGAUACUUUUUUAUCCCUCGGUUUCAUCUCAUCUGGCGGUACUGCAGUUUAAGUAAACUGAAACCAAAUUAACAGCUACCAUUCUUGUAUUGAACAAAAUUAAGGCACACAUAUGUAUAAGCAGAUCAAGGCUAGCUAUGAGCAAACUGCAGAUAUAUGAUAUACUUUUAGCUAUAGCCACAUGUUAAAUCAUGUUUCCCCCAUCCGGAAUUAGUUGAUGCUCAAACGGAUGAAUCUAGAUGUAUUUCAAUGCUAGAUACAUCCGUCUUGGCGUCAACUAAUUUCGGACGAAGGGAGUACUUGACAAGAGGGAUAUAUAAUUGUGAUGUUUUAGAAAGAAAACUUGAGUUCGCUCGAACCAAAGAGUGUGUUAGAACCUUGUUUAUUUUGUAUCUUUAGCAAAGUGUUAAACCAGGACCUGAUGCAAGCACAUGACCUGUUGUAGUUUCAGUCAUCUACAGUGCUGCAACCUAAUAAGCAGCAGGGUAGUAGAGGCAUGGUAAGUGGCAGCAUAUGGUAUAGCUUGACAUGGGUUCAGACGGUGCACGUCCUGGUACUGCCCGCUGUAUCGACAGCAUGGCUGUAAAAGGGAUGAGGUGCAUUUGUGCAACAACCUAACCCAACUGAAAGAAUAGAAAAAAAAAGGAAGGCUCCCAAGAAGGAAUGCUUGGGAUUUUAUCUCCGACGAGUUUUUUUCAAUCUCUGUGUGUAUCCAUUGGAGUUCACCGUGCAAACAAUCUAGUUGGACAUUACGUACUGCUGCAUGUUGAUAGAAAUAGAAAUCCAAAAGGGGUGCUUCGUUUUUAGUCAAAGUUUAACCAUGUACGUAAAAGCUGAACCAAAAUGUGAUGUGUAGUCAUUCAUAUGUAUGUACAAUUAAUUGCAAGUGCCGAUCUAGGGGUAGAGAGGGGAAAGAGGGGUAGCUCACCACGUAUGCCCGCAAGGCUAGGAGGGGAGGGGGAAGUAGCCAUCAGUUAUCCCCUCCAUGCGCCGGAGGAGAGAGGAGGCAGGUGCGAAGAGGGAUGGUGGCCUGCUCCUCAACCUCCUCUGGUAAAGAGGGAUCGUCGGGGACGGACGCGUUGAGGAGGAGGUUUCUUGCUGCUGGUGUCGAGGAUGCUCUCAAAGUAGAUCUUGAGCGAGGCACUGCAGUGCUUCCUCAACUCUCUCCACAGGGUCCCUGUCUUCCUCCAGCGUCACCACCCCUUGCUCCGGCUCUGGCGAGUUAGGAGCAGCAGCAAUUAACAACAGUAUAACUUUCUGUUCACCUUGUACAUACAACUUUGACAUGAUAAAAAAAAUCUGCAGUAGGAAAUGUCCUUGCUAUUUCCAGUGAAAAGAGAUCUAAGAGGCCCAAAAAUAGGGGUGUUGUACUUCGAAAUUGCGACAUCUAAAUAACUGACUUCAGCAGGUUGUUAUUUUCAGGGGAAAUCUGGCAAAAUUUUAGUCGACAUCUUAACAACUGAAUUGAGCAAACAUUUAUGUUUCUGUGCAUUUUUCAGUUCGAGGAGCAGAGCUUUUUUCUUCCAGCGAGAGUUCCAGCUGACCUUGACUUAAUCAAAAGAAGCACAGUGGAACGCUUAUAUUAUAAAAUGCCAAUUGGCGUUUGUCGUGUCUGAUUGCCUUCUUGCUUGUGGAGCUGAACAACGACCGGUGACAAUUUCAAAGGAACGGGCAGAGACAGAGAUAGAGGAUAGGAGCAGAGAAGAGAGAAGGUACCCUGCGGCGGGUACUCCGGGUAGAACAUGGGCCGCUC